GCUGGGCAUGGUGGUGCAUGCCUGUAGUCCCAGCUACUUGGGAGGCUGAGGUAGAGGAAUCGCUUGAACCCAGGAGGCGGAGGUUGCAGUGAGCCGAGGUUGCACCACUGCACUCCAGCCUGGGCAACAGAGCAAGACUCCAUCUCAA
RNAcentral lists this non-coding RNA (148 nucleotides) under Pan paniscus (pygmy chimpanzee). The record is from Rfam by way of RNAcentral. RNAcentral also lists the same sequence under 1 other name. Lineage: Eukaryota; Metazoa; Chordata; Mammalia; Primates; Hominidae.